Molecule: ribosomal RNA, 465 nt
Filed under: uncultured bacterium
Lineage: Bacteria
Description: partial 16S ribosomal RNA
Rfam family: Bacterial small subunit ribosomal RNA
Source: RNAcentral
GACGAACGCUGGCGGCGUGCUUAACACAUGCAAGUCGAACGGAAAGGCCCCUUUGGGGGUACUCGAGUGGCGAACGGGUGAGUAACACGUGAGUAACCUGCCCUUGACUUCGGGAUAACUUCAGGAAACUGGGGCUAAUACCGGCUAGGAAUCCUUGCUGCCUGGUGGGGGUUGGAAAGCUUCGGCGGUUUGGGAUGGACUUGGUGCUCAUCAGCUUGUUGGUGGGGUAGUGGCUUACCAAGGCUUUGACGGGUAGCCGGCCUGAGAGGGCGACCGGCCACAUUGGGACCGAGAUACGGCCCAGACCCCUACGGGAGGCAGCAGGGGGGAAUAGUGCACAAUGGGCGGAAGCCUGAUGCAGCAACGCCGCGGGCGGGAUGACGGCCUUCGGGUUGGAAAACGCUUUCAGCAGGGGCGAAGCUUGUGGUGACGGUACCUGCAGAAGAAGCACCGGCUAACUACGUG